RNAcentral lists this ribosomal RNA (1462 nucleotides) under uncultured prokaryote. RNAcentral's name for it is "partial 16S ribosomal RNA". It matches the Rfam family "Bacterial small subunit ribosomal RNA". The record is from RNAcentral.
AGGGUUUGAUUCUGGCUCAGGACGAACGCUGGCGGCAGGCCUAACACAUGCAAGUCGAACGAGAAGCCAUCCUUCGGGAUGGUGGGCAGUGGCGAACGGGUGAGUAACGCGUGGGAACCUGCCCUUCGGUACGGGACAACCGCGGGAAACUGCGGCUAAUACCGUAUAUUCCCUACGGGGGAAAGAUUUAUCGCCGAAGGAUGGGCCCGCGUCCGAUUAGCUUGUUGGUGAGGUAAAAGCUCACCAAGGCGACGAUCGGUAGCUGGUUUGAGAGGAUGAUCAGCCACACUGGGACUGAGAUACGGCCCAGACUCCUACGGGAGGCAGCAGUGGGGAAUAUUGGACAAUGGGGGCAACCCUGAUCCAGCCAUGUCGCGUGAGUGAAGAAGGCCCUAGGGUUGUAAAGCUCUUUCAGCGAGGAAGAUAAUGACGGUACUCGCAAAAGAAGCCCCGGCUAACUCCGUGCCAGCAGCCGCGGUAAUACGGAGGGGGCUAGCGUUGUUCGGAAUUACUGGGCGUAAAGCGUGCGUAGGCGGUUUGCUAAGUUGGGCGUGAAAGCCCGGGGCUCAACCCCGGAAUUGCGUUCAAAACUGGCAGACUAGAGGCCGGAAGAGGAGAGCGGAAUUCCCAGUGUAGAGGUGGAAUUCGUAGAUAUCAGGAAGAACACCGGUGGCGAAGUCGGCUUUCUGGACCGAUACUGACGCUGAGGCGCGAAAGCGUGGGGAGCGAACAGGAUUAGAUACCCUGGUAGUCCACGCCGUAAACGAUGAGUGCUAGACGUCGGGGGGCUUGCCCUUCGGUGUCGCAGCUAACGCAUUAAGCACUCCGCCUGGGGACUACGGCCGCAAGGCUAAAACUCAAAGGAAUUGACGGGGGCCCGCACAAGCGGUGGAGCAUGUGGUUUAAUUCGACGCAACGCGAAGAACCUUACCAGCCCUUGACACGCUAGGUCGCGGAAUCCAGAGAUGGAUUUCUUCAGUUCGGCUGGACCUAGUGCAGUUGCUGCAUGGCUGUCGUCAGCUCGUGUCGUGAGAUGUUGGGUUAAGUCCCGCAACGAGCGCAACCCUCGUCCUUAGUUGCCAGCGGUUAGGCCGGGCACUCUAAGGAAACUGCCGGUGAUAAGCUGGAGGAAGGUGGGGAUGACGUCAAGUCCUCAUGGCCCUUACGGGCUGGGCUACACACGUGCUACAAUGGCGGUGACAGUGGGAUGCUAUGGGGCGACCCGGAGCUAAUCCCCAAAAACCGUCUCAGUUCGGAUUGUUCUCUGCAACUCGAGAGCAUGAAGUUGGAAUCGCUAGUAAUCGUGGAUCAGCAUGCCACGGUGAAUACGUUCCCGGGCCUUGUACACACCGCCCGUCACACCAUGGGAGUUGGUUUUACCCGAAGACGGUGCGCUAACCGCAAGGAGGCAGCCGGCCACGGUAGGGUCAGCGACUGGGGUGAAGUCGUAACAAGGUAGCCA